GGAAGCCAGCUACCACAUCCUGAACUGCCUAUUGGAUUGGGACCUUUGGCGGGGUCCUGAGGGUAGCCUCUAAGAGUUGACAGUAUUCCAUUUUGCGGCUAGCAAGAAAAGGGAGACUUCCUUCUCUACAGCAACAGGGACUGAAUUCUUCCAACAACCAAACCACAUGAGAAGCCAAUUCCUAAUCAGAAGCUUGCUUGACCCUGAUGCUGGGAAAGAUUGAGGGCAGGAGGAUAAGGGGACGACAGAGGAUGAGAUGGUU
Molecule: long non-coding RNA, 262 nt
Organism: Cervus elaphus (red deer)
Lineage: Eukaryota; Metazoa; Chordata; Mammalia; Artiodactyla; Cervidae
Exons: 3
Source: RefSeq, a predicted model, not a curated record